UACGUAGGGAGCAAGCGUUAUCCGGAUUUAUUGGGUGUAAAGGGUGCGUAGACGGGAAUUUAAGUUAGUUGUGAAAUCCCUCGGCUUAACUGAGGAACUGCAACCAAAACUGAAUUUCUUGAGUGCGGGAGAGGAAAGUGGAAUUCCUAGUGUAGCGGUGAAAUGCGUAGAUAUUAGGAGGAACACCAGUGGCGAAGGCGACUUUCUGGACCGUAACUGACGUUGAGGCACGAAAGUGUGGGGAGCAAACAGG
RNAcentral lists this ribosomal RNA (253 nucleotides) under uncultured bacterium. RNAcentral describes it as "partial 16S ribosomal RNA". It matches the Rfam family "Bacterial small subunit ribosomal RNA", at positions 524 to 776 of the family's 1533-position model. The record is from RNAcentral.